GCUUGGGACAGUUGGAGAAGACUUCUUAAAAGGUGAGGCUUAAAAUGGAUGAGGAGUUUGCAAUGUAGGGACAGGAGUAAAGUCAUUCCCAGGACAGGAAAGAAUGCGUGCAAGGCUCCAGGGCGCCCUAGAAAGAAGAAAAUGUGCUUUGUGCCUGGAGUGCUGGGUACAAAGGAUGUUAGAAAAGAGGUCUCAGGUUGGACAGAGCCAGACAGCACACUGGAGGAUUAGGAAGGACAGCUGCCAAAAACAAAUGCUUUCCUCUAAACGUGCUAGCAACACUAAAGAUUUCCAUAACCCAAAGUCAAGUACAAUGACAUAAUAGAAAGGAAGACAGAGCAAGUUGGGGGGAGUGGGGUAACAUAGCCAAUCCUUCAUUUAUCCAUAAUGGAAAUAAUAAAUACUAACUAAGUAAUAAUAGAAAUAAUGAGCAACGAGGAAGAAUUUAAAAUGGCAACAAAAUAUGGGAUGUACAAGUAAGACAAUUAGAUGUUACUAAACAGGCUAAAAAUGAUUGCAUCUAGGAGUGGGGCCCAGAAUGAGA
Long non-coding RNA from Herpailurus yagouaroundi (jaguarundi), 544 nucleotides. RefSeq lists it as uncharacterized. The transcript has 2 exons. The record is from RefSeq and is a predicted model, not a curated record. Lineage: Eukaryota; Metazoa; Chordata; Mammalia; Carnivora; Felidae.